This 492-nucleotide ribosomal RNA is filed under the name uncultured bacterium. RNAcentral's name for it is "partial 16S ribosomal RNA". It matches the Rfam family "Bacterial small subunit ribosomal RNA", at positions 29 to 507 of the family's 1533-position model. The record is from RNAcentral.
AGUGAACGCUGGCGGUAGGCCUAACACAUGCAAGUCGAACGGCAGCACAGUAAGAGCUUGCUCUUACGGGUGGCGAGUGGCGGACGGGUGAGGAAUACAUCGGAAUCUACUUUUUCGUGGGGGAUAACGUAGGGAAACUUACGCUAAUACCGCAUACGACCUACGGGUGAAAGCAGGGGAUCUUCGGACCUUGCGCGAUUGAAUGAGCCGAUGUCGGAUUAUCUAGUUGGCGGGGUAAAGGCCCACCAAGGCGACGAUCCGUAGCUGGUCUGAGAGGAUGAUCAGCCACACUGGAACUGAGACACGGUCCAGACUCCUACGGGAGGCAGCAGUGGGGAAUAUUGGACAAUGGGCGCAAGCCUGAUCCAGCCAUACCGCGUGGGUGAAGAAGGCCUUCGGGUUGUAAAGCCCUUUUGUUGGGAAGGAAAAGCAGCAGGUUAAUACCCCGCUGUUCUGACGGUACCCAAAGAAUAAGCACCGGCUAACUUCGUG